Megalobrama amblycephala (Wuchang bream) is the source of this 1129-nucleotide long non-coding RNA. RefSeq lists it as uncharacterized. Lineage: Eukaryota; Metazoa; Chordata; Actinopteri; Cypriniformes; Xenocyprididae. The record is from RefSeq and is a predicted model, not a curated record. The transcript is spliced from 4 exons.
GGACAGAAUUUAAAAAUUGGUGCAUUGCUACAGAUUUUUUCCCCCUUUAACACUAGAGCAUUUCUGAAGAGUAUUGAGGCUUUGAGCAACACAAAAAACUGUUGCUUCAAUGUUGCUUCAGAAUGGUAUUAAAGCAUUUAAAAGAAGCUGGCCUUUGAGAGAAUAAAUGUUAAAAAAAUUAUCUGGUCAUUCAGAAGGGGUUAGAAACACAGUGCGUUGGUUAUUACAGGGCAAACCAUAGAGAGAUACAUCAGGAGUCAUUACACACAGCUUAACUCCCUACUGUGUUGUUGAUCAUCUGUUCAUGUGAUGUUAAAAGGUGGGAAUAUGUGUUCAUGUGAAAUGUCUUGAACAAACUAGUGCAGGAAAGGUCAGCAGGGCAGAUGCCGGGAGCCCUGUAAGAAGACCGAUAUUGAAUCAGAAGGAAAUAAUCAGUUGAUAAGUGGCAGAGCCGUGCUAAGCCCAAGCAACCUGCUCCCCAUACCUGUGAUGCAUAGGAGCGAGAUGACCAUUCAGUGCAGGCAGAGGGCCAGUCUUGUCUUCUUUGGUGUAACCCAGCCGUUGGGUUAGAGGCUGGUCAAUCUCACUGACACUUGAAACAAUACACCCAUCCCCACCUGCCCUCCGACGCAACAACCCAACGGUGGCUUACUAUAGCAACCCAGCUGUUGGGUUACGCAGAACGCAGGCUUUUUGCAUCCUCGUCAGGAGACAGCAGAUCUCAAUUGGUGCUUUACUUCGGUAAAAUAAAGGUUAUAAGGAACCUGCCAUAAUAUCUUUCAGCUUUGACAUACACAAAGCAGCGGUCUGAGGUUCGCAGCUCCUCCGCUGAACAGCGGAAAGAAAACUAAUUGAAGCGGAGAGGAGAGGGAACUUUGAAAAUGGGCUGCAGUGAGUUUUGGACAUAGUCUGUUCGUUGGCAUGAGAAAAAGAAAAGCGAAAUAUGGUCAAAUUUGUUUUCAAACGCAAGUUAUAAAUAGGCCUAUUUCAUUUAACGGUAAAAGCUGUAUAUUUGAGAUGUCAUUCUUUUCUGCUCAUUUGUACUCAGAUGUACUUGUUUGUUUCACGUUGUUUUAACUCGUCUAUAAUUUUUGUGCAUUCCUGGGUGUUCUUUCUUAUUAAAGCUACU